CCUACGGGAUGCAGCAGUGAGGAAUAUUGGUCAAUGGACGGAAGCCUGAACCAGCCAUGCCGCGUGCAGGAAGACGGCUCUAUGAGUUGUAAACUGCUUUUGUACAAGGGUAAACCUGAAUACGUGUAUUCAGCUGAAUGUACUUUACGAAUAAGGCUCGGCUAACUCCGUGCCAGCAGCCGCGGUAAUACGGAGGAUCCAAGCGUUAUCCGGAUUUAUUGGGUUUAAAGGGUGCGUAGGCGGAUUGAUAAGUUAGAGGUGAAAUGUCCGGGCUUAACUCGGGAACUGCAUUUAAUACUGUUGAUCUAGAGAAUAGAUGAGGUAGGCGGAAUGUAUGGUGUAGCGGUGAAAUGCUUAGAGAUCAUACAGAACACCGAUUGCGAAGGCAGCUUACCAAUCUAUAUCUGACGUUGAGGCACGAAAGCGUGGGGAGCAAACAGGAUUAGAUACCCUGGUAGUC
RNAcentral lists this ribosomal RNA (460 nucleotides) under uncultured bacterium. Its description in RNAcentral is "partial 16S ribosomal RNA". It matches the Rfam family "Bacterial small subunit ribosomal RNA", at positions 338 to 795 of the family's 1533-position model. The record is from RNAcentral.